RNAcentral lists this ribosomal RNA (419 nucleotides) under bacterium enrichment culture clone ALO1_GLFRUDD03HHOUA. RNAcentral's name for it is "bacterial SSU rRNA". It matches the Rfam family "Bacterial small subunit ribosomal RNA", at positions 9 to 430 of the family's 1533-position model. The record is from RNAcentral.
GAGUUUGAUCUUGGCUCAGAUUGAACGCUGGCGGCAUGCCUUACACAUGCAAGUCGAACGGCAGCACGGGAGCUUGCUCCUGGUGGCGAGUAGCGAACGGGUGAGUAAUGCAUCGGAACGUAUCCUGGAGUGGGGGAUAACGUAGCGAAAGUUACGCUAAUACCGCAUAUUCUGUGAGCAGGAAAGCGGGGGACCUUCGGGCCUCGCGCUCUUGGAGCGGCCGAUGUCGGAUUAGCUAGUUGGUGAGGUAAAGGCUCACCAAGGCGACGAUCCGUAGCAGGUCUGAGAGGAUGAUCUGCCACACUGGAACUGAGACACGGUCCAGACUCCUACGGGAGGCAGCAGUGGGGAAUUUUGGACAAUGGGGGCAACCCUGAUCCAGCCAUGCCGCGUGAGUGAAGAAGGCCUCGGUUGUAAGU